GUGCUUGCUUCAGCAGCACAUAUAGUAAAACUUGAAUGAUACAGAGAAGAUUACCAUGGCCCCUGCACAAGGAUGACAAGCAAAUUCAUGAAGCAUUCCAUAUUUUU
This is a small nuclear RNA of Artibeus jamaicensis (Jamaican fruit-eating bat), 107 nucleotides long. Lineage: Eukaryota; Metazoa; Chordata; Mammalia; Chiroptera; Phyllostomidae. The record is from RefSeq and is a predicted model, not a curated record.